AUCUAAAUAGUUUAAUAAAAAUAUUGGUUUGUGGUGCCAGGGAUACAUUUUGUUGUUUUGGAUU
Molecule: transfer RNA, 64 nt
Filed under: Serritermes serrifer
Lineage: Eukaryota; Metazoa; Arthropoda; Insecta; Blattodea; Serritermitidae
Description: tRNA-His
Source: RNAcentral